This 477-nucleotide ribosomal RNA is filed under the name uncultured crenarchaeote. Its description in RNAcentral is "bacterial SSU rRNA". It matches the Rfam family "Archaeal small subunit ribosomal RNA", at positions 180 to 655 of the family's 1478-position model. The record is from RNAcentral. Lineage: Archaea; Thermoproteati; Thermoproteota.
UUAUGUUCCAAAUGAUUUAUCGCCGUAGGAUGGGACUGCGGCCUAUCAGUUUGUUGGUGAGGUAAUGGCCCACCAAGACUAUUACAGGUACGGGCUCUGAGAGGAGUAGCCCGGAGAUGGGUACUGAGACACGGACCCAGGCCCUAUGGGGCGCAGCAGGCGAGAAAACUUUGCAAUGUGCGAAAGCACGACAAGGUUAAUCCGAGUGGUUUCUGCUAAAGAAACCUUUUGUCAGUCCCAGAAACACUGAUGGAUAAGGGGUGGGCAAGUUCUGGUGUCAGCCGCCGCGGUAAAACCAGCACCUCAAGUGGUCAGGAUGAUUAUUGGGCCUAAAGCAUCCGUAGCCCGGCUCUGUGAGUUUUCGGUUAAAUCUGUACGCUCAACGUACAGGCUGCCGGGAAUACCUGCAGAGCUAGGGGGUGGGGAGAGGUAGACGGUACUCGGUAGGAAGGGGUAAAAUCCUUUGAUCUAUUGAUG